This 439-nucleotide ribosomal RNA is filed under the name uncultured bacterium. Its description in RNAcentral is "partial 16S ribosomal RNA". It matches the Rfam family "Bacterial small subunit ribosomal RNA", at positions 339 to 795 of the family's 1533-position model. The record is from RNAcentral.
CUACGGGUUGCUGCAGUGGGGAAUCUUAGACAAUGGGCGCAAGCCUGAUCUAGCCAUGCCGCGUGAGUGACGAAGGCCUUAGGGUCGUAAAGCUCUUUCGCUGGGGAAGAUAAUGACGGUACCCAGUAAAGAAACCCCGGCUAACUCCGUGCCAGCAGCCGCGGUAAUACGGAGGGGGUUAGCGUUGUUCGGAAUUACUGGGCGUAAAGCGCGCGUAGGCGGAUCAGAAAGUUGGGGGUGAAAUCCCGGGGCUCAACCACGGAACUGCCUUCAAAACUCCUGGUCUUGAGUUCGAGAGAGGUGAGUGGAAUUCCGAGUGUAGAGGUGAAAUUCGUAGAUAUUCGGAGGAACACCAGUGGCGAAGGCGGCUCACUGGCUCGAUACUGACGCUGAGGUGCGAAAGCGUGGGGAGCAAACAGGAUUAGAUACCCGCGUAGUC